RNAcentral lists this ribosomal RNA (400 nucleotides) under uncultured bacterium. Its description in RNAcentral is "bacterial SSU rRNA". It matches the Rfam family "Bacterial small subunit ribosomal RNA", at positions 918 to 1326 of the family's 1533-position model. The record is from RNAcentral.
GACCCGCACAAGCGGUGGAGCAUGCUCUUCAAUUGGCUGAUAACCCAAGAACCUUACCAAGGCUUGACAUGUAUGAAGUAGUGAAGCGAAAGCGGAACGACCGGUAUCCAGUCCGGAGCUUACACAGGUGUUGCAUGGCUGUCGUCAGCUCGUACCGUGAGGCGUACCCUUAAGUGGGUUAACGAGCGCAACCCCUACUGCUAGUUGUAUCACUCUAGCGGAACUGCCGUCGCAAGACGGAGGAAGGCGGGGAUGACGUCAAGUCGGUAUUGCCCUUACGCCUUGGGCUAGAAGCGUGCUACAAUGGCCAGGACAGCGAGUUGCGAAGCCGCGAGGCUGAGCUAAUCUCUUAAACCUGGUCUCAGUUCGGAUUGGAGUCUGCAAUUCGACUCCAUGAAGC